GAUGAACGCUGGCGGCGUGCCUAAUACAUGCAAGUCGAGCGAACAGACGAGGAGCUUGCUCCUCUGACGUUAGCGGCGGACGGGUGAGUAACACGUGGAUAACCUACCUAUAAGACUGGGAUAACUUCGGGAAACCGGAGCUAAUACCGGAUAAUAUAUUGAACCGCAUGGUUCAAUAGUGAAAGACGGUUUUGCUGUCACUUAUAGAUGGAUCCGCGCCGCAUUAGCUAGUUGGUAAGGUAACGGCUUACCAAGGCAACGAUGCGUAGCCGACCUGAGAGAGUGAUCGGCCACACGGGAACGGAGACACGGUCCAGACUCCUACGGGAGGCAGCAGUAGGGAAUCGUCCGCAAAGGGCGAAAGCGUGACGGAGCAACGCGGAGUGAGUGAUGAAGGUCUUCGGAUCGUAAAACUCUGUUAUUAGGGAAGAACAAAUGUGUAAGUAACUAUGCACGUCUUGACGGUACCUAAUCAGAAAGCCACGGCUAACUACGUG
This 497-nucleotide ribosomal RNA is filed under the name uncultured bacterium. Its description in RNAcentral is "partial 16S ribosomal RNA". It matches the Rfam family "Bacterial small subunit ribosomal RNA", at positions 28 to 507 of the family's 1533-position model. The record is from RNAcentral.